UUUUUUUGAUAAAAAUGUAUGACUCUAUAACUUUUAGACCGUGAGGCCAAACUUGGCAUGUGAUACCUUUUCGGAACGCCCACAGAGAGCUCUCCAAUGAAUGAGGAAGGAAAAUGGAAUACUUCUAUUGGCUUUUUUUCUACUCCAAAUUUUGACCUUAAUGUACUUUUUCGGGCCUUUUCGUGAUCUUUCGUAUAUUACGGAGUGAAAAUUAUAUGUUUGGACAUUGUUUUCGAAUAUUUUCGAUGUAUCAAAGCUCUUAUAAACAAGAUAGGGUAUUCCUACAUAGCUGGUGGGACCCACGCCAAAUGGAUCAUAAAGUCUUCAAAAAAGAAUAUAUACGAUUGCGUUGCAU
This 355-nucleotide ribosomal RNA is filed under the name Arabidopsis thaliana (thale cress). The record is from RNAcentral. Lineage: Eukaryota; Viridiplantae; Streptophyta; Magnoliopsida; Brassicales; Brassicaceae.